Molecule: long non-coding RNA, 1182 nt
Organism: Homo sapiens (human)
Lineage: Eukaryota; Metazoa; Chordata; Mammalia; Primates; Hominidae
Gene: PYDC2-AS1
Product: PYDC2 antisense RNA 1
Exons: 7
Source: RefSeq, marked validated
CUUUCUUCUCGUCUGUCGCCAUGUGAGAUGUACCUUUCACUUUCCUCCAUGAUUGUGAGGCCUCCUUAGCCACAUGGAACUGCCCUGGCAAUCACUAUUCCAGUCUCUGCUUCUAUGAGUUUGACUAUUUCAGAUUCCACAUGAAAUGCUGGAGUCCUUCAUCCGAAUGGUAAAUGGCACUUGUGACAAAAAUCAAAGUAACUAAAAAAGAAUCUGGUUGAAACCUCAGUAACAGUUGGCCUGUCUACUGCCUCACACUAACAAGGGGGAGCUAAUAAAACCGAGGUUAGAACACACAAUGUGGAAAUGAAAACCUUAUUCUUGUCAAUGGAUGGAGGGUGGUGACCCCCACCUUUACAAGUGUCUGUAAUUCUCACUAGCAGUAUAUUAGAGGGCAAAAGAUUUGAACAGACACAUCAGAAAAGAAGACAUACAAAUGGCCGCUAAGCACUUGAAAGGAUUCUGAACACCAUUAGUCAUCAGUGAAAUGCAAAUUAAAGCCAUAAUGAAUGGCGCUAUACAUUUUCAGAAUGGCAAGGAUUGAAGACCGAAAAAAAUCAAGCGUUGAGGAGAGUGACAAAUGGGGAGACAGCCGUGGUGCAUGAUCGCCGAAUAAAUACCAUGUGAGGAUACAGCAAGAAGGUGGCCAUCUACAAGCCAAGGAGACAGGCCUCAGAAGAAACCAACCCUUCUUACACCCUGGACUCAGACUUCUAAUCUCCAGAACUUGUUAAUGCACAAGGUCUUGUGUUGAAAAUGUAGAGCCACGAGAUAAAAGCAGCUUGGAUGGCUGACUCAUAUACAAGGACAACUGCCUGAGAGUCACCAGGGCUAUCAAGAAGUUUGCAGAAACAAGAAAUAAACUUUUACUGUUUUAAACUUUUGUGAAUUUUGGGUUUUGUUUAUCACCAAAUAAACCUAGUCUAUUCUGAUUGUUAUAAGUGGUUAAUUUGGGAAGUCAGAUAUAUUUAAAAUUGGCUUACUGCUGUAACAUAUACAGUCCAAAUUACAUAAUGGCUCAAAUGCAAUAGAAGUCUUUUUUUUUUUUGCUCACAUAUCACUUCACUGAGAUUCUGCAUUAAUUGUAAUGAUGAGGGUGAGGGUGUCUUAUAUCAUACAGUUGUUCAGCAACCCAGGAUGACCAACUUUGUAAUAUUUUUUCCCACUGGCUUCUAAAGUUCU